This 369-nucleotide ribosomal RNA is filed under the name uncultured Prevotella sp. RNAcentral's name for it is "bacterial SSU rRNA". It matches the Rfam family "Bacterial small subunit ribosomal RNA", at positions 428 to 796 of the family's 1533-position model. Lineage: Bacteria; Pseudomonadati; Bacteroidota; Bacteroidia; Bacteroidales; Prevotellaceae. The record is from RNAcentral.
AACUGCUUUUUAGGGGAAUAAAGAGGGGCACGCGUGCCCUGUUGCAUGUACCCUUGGAAUAAGGACCGGCUAAUUCCGUGCCAGCAGCCGCGGUAAUACGGAAGGUCCAGGUGUUAUCCGGAUUUAUUGGGUUUAAAGGGAGCGUAGGCCGCAGGCUAAGUGUGUUGUGAAAAGCAGUCGCCCAACGUCUGCCUUGCAGCGCAAACUGUCCUGCUUGAGUGCGCACAACGCAGGCGGAAUUCGUCGUGUAGCGGUGAAAUGCUUAGAUAUGACGAAGAACUCCGAUUGCGAAGGCAGCUUGCGGGAGCGCAACUGACGCUGAAGCUCGAAAGUGCGGGUAUCGAACAGGAUUAGAUACCCUGGUAGUCC